CCCUGGUGGGCUUUGAACACCUGAGCUCAAACGAUGCCUUGACCUCUCAAAGUGCUGGGAUUACAAGUGUCAGCCACUGCACCUGGCCGACAUUUUUUAUUUGUUUAGAGACAAGGAUUCCCUGUAAAGCUGCAGGGGCACAAUCGUGGCUCUCACUGCAGCCUCGAAUUCCUGGGCUCAGUGAUCCUCUUGUCCCAGCCACCUGAGUAGCUAGGACUACAGGUGCACCCCACCAUGCCUCCUAUUUUUUGUGUUUGUGUGGAGAUGAAGUGUGUUGUCUAGGCUGGUCUCAAGUGAUCCUUCAGCCUCAGCCUCCUAAACUGCUGAGAUUACAGGCAUAAGCUUUUUUGAUAAAGGAAAAACUAGUGAGCAUUUCACAUUGUAGAAUCCAAAAACAUGAAAGUUAAUCUUUUCCUGUCAAUUUACAGUUUUGUAAAUGUACCCAGGUGAAGAGACUGGUCUGUUACUGUAGAUAGAAAAGUACCAAAACAAAGUUUUACUUUGUUCAGUAUACUGUCGAGGCAACUUUCUAAAUGAGAGGGUCCAGGUUCUUGGUUAAAGAAGGAACUUAGAAUUAACAAAAUAGUGACAAACAUUUGCGGCAGCGCGCCUCAGGGCACCAGCUGCAGGGGUCUGCCCACAGACCCUGACCCUGCGACAGAUGAAUAAAGUACACUGACACACAGAUAGUCUGUUUUGCCAGUCCAGCUGAGGGUGUCCCACUGCUUACAGACUCCCUGGAGAGUUCUGAAAACAGUUGCAACUAGGCCUCAGUCAGCUAGUGAGACUUGCAUUUAUUCAAAAAGAUUAAGGAUGGCUUGAGUCAACACCAUUAGAGGGUAAUUGAUAUUGUGGACUUCCCAAGUAAAAAGCACUUAACCCCCCGUGGUACAUCCAAGAUUAGUCUUAAGAUCAUAUGACUAAACAAACUAGGUAAACUACUCUGCCUUCCUUUAUUACUACUUUAAUUUGUUUAAAAGUAAAGAUCAGGUUGCCUUCAACCAUAUCUAUCACCGAAGCUAUGCAAACUUCUCGGCCUUCCAAGAAUUGUAUCUGUCUCUGUAACAAUCUUUAAUGUUUUUCCCACCAGCCUGAUUGAAUCCCAACACAUAUUCAGAACUUAAGGCUAGAACAAGAUGAGGAAGAUAUGACAGCCCGUGAUUUUAAGCAAUCUAAGGAAACCCAUGCUUGCAAAGAAUUCAAAUGACGUGAGAGCUACUAAGAUAAAAUGUGGCCAUGCACCAAGCCUUGACGGCAAUAUUUAAUCUCAUAACAAUUCUUCUUUCCUCCUAUAUAAGAAGCAUGGCAGCGACACUGUGCAUAAAUUAAGGCAAACUGUUGUUAUGUGAAAAUGUUAAUGAGGUAGAUUCCUUUGGAAUCAUUAGUGUGAAGAGCUGGUUUUUGUUUUCCCAUUGCCUAGGCCCUGACUUUAGUAGUGACUGAUGCAGCUUUUCUAGUCUAACAACCCUCUCCCCCAAGUAAUUCUUUGAUGCCCUGCCCUUCAGCUUCAUCUUUUACCACUUACUAUUGGGUUUUGCCACCAUUUAUUUUAUCAUUCACUUAUCUGUUCCUCUUCCUAAGUUACAAACGUUUCUGAAGCAAAAGAAAAUGUAUCACUGUAGAGAGUCUAGGACCUUUAGUGUUAUUUGGUCGUUUACUUUUCAUACACUGCAGCUUUUACUGUUUUGAACCUUCAUUGCUAUAGUAGGUAUUGAAAAAUACUGAACGACCAGAAGUGAUUUGAUUUCUCCCUUAUCUGGUAAAUAAUUUUUUUUUUUUUUGAGAUGGAGUUUUGCUCU
Molecule: long non-coding RNA, 1799 nt
Filed under: Homo sapiens (human)
Lineage: Eukaryota; Metazoa; Chordata; Mammalia; Primates; Hominidae
Description: non-protein coding lnc-RBM25-1:1
Source: RNAcentral